UACUCGAGUGGCGAACGGGUGAGUAACACGUGGGUGAUCUGCCCUGCACUCUGGGAUAAGCCUGGGAAACUGGGUCUAAUACCGGAUAGGACCAUGCUUUAGUGUGUGUGGUGGAAAGUUUUUUCGGUGUAGGAUGAGCCCGCGGCCUAUCAGCUUGUUGGGUGGGGUAAUGGCCUACCAAGGCGGCGACGGGUAGCCGGACUGAGAGGUUGGUCGGCCACAUUGGGACUGAGAUACGGCCCAG
Molecule: ribosomal RNA, 244 nt
Filed under: uncultured Actinomycetales bacterium
Lineage: Bacteria; Bacillati; Actinomycetota; Actinomycetes; Actinomycetales
Description: partial 16S ribosomal RNA
Rfam family: Bacterial small subunit ribosomal RNA
Source: RNAcentral